Lontra canadensis (Northern American river otter) is the source of this 1266-nucleotide long non-coding RNA. RefSeq lists it as uncharacterized. Lineage: Eukaryota; Metazoa; Chordata; Mammalia; Carnivora; Mustelidae. The record is from RefSeq and is a predicted model, not a curated record. The transcript is spliced from 2 exons.
GGGCAGCCAUAAAGAGCAAGGAGGUGCUGAAGCCGGGGGUGCCCUAAGAGGGGCUGCGGCUGCAAUCCCCACCUGUGAUUGGUUCUCAGACUCAGGCCAAACUCCAAACCCGCCCAGCAACAGCCCUAAGAGGCCCUAAGCGGGAGGGGAACUUCGGAGAAGUCAGCUGAGCUGGGGCCACCACCCAUGCUGCAGCUUCCAGGAAUCGCUGGGAGGGCCCCAGCUAGUCACUGCCACCCCCGCCCUCGGUCUUGGGACUCCGCCUUCUGCCCUCUGUAUCUACUGGGCUGGAGCAGAUCCCAUUUCCCUGAUCCCCCACAUCUCUGAUCCCCUUACAGGUUCACCCAGAGACAGAAGAAUAGGUCUGAUAGCUCCUCUUAAGGCAGAACAGAGACACCGAGACUGCGCUUGCCCUUUUCCUCACUCCUUCCCCCAGGACACAGGGACCCCCAGGAAAUCCGGCUUCCAGAAGCAGAGACCUGGAACUCAGACCUCAGAAUUGCAGAGGUCCGUACUGUGGAAUAAGCUGCCCGCUCUCAUACCACCUCUAGCAAGCUAUUUACCUUGAGCGAUGACAAGACCGCAGGAAGGGAGACUAGCAUGAUACAUCUCUGAAGAAUGUCUCUGGCAGGACAUCCAGUACUGCCUUGGCUCCACCCUCGACCCCGCCCUAAGUCCCCUAGAGCCAGAUCAGGCCAGGCUCCUCCUCCUCCGGUCCUUUCCGCGGAGGGAAGCAGGGAGGGGCAGAAGUCACUUCCUUUCCCCCACCCUAGCAAAAGCAAUAAACCGAGAGCUUAAUGCGGAAAUGGGUGAGGGCAGAAAAAAUGGGUGAAGCACGCAGGGAGGGCCAAAGAAAGAGAACAGGAGAAAAGACCCCUGCAAAGCCAACUGCUAUUCAGCUCAGCCCCAGACUGAAAGCAGAGCUACUGGAUUCGAAGAGACUUUACAGAAAGACUCAGUCUAUGGAGAAACCCACCACAGGCCAUGCAGUUUUUUCCUCAGCGCUGGAACCAAGCUCCCAACUCCAUACCUAAAGUGGGAGAAGUGGCGACCUCUAGUGGUCGAUGGCCAACCUGCAGGGCCUACGGUUGGCCAGGAUCCUCCCCGGGGAUUGGGGCUCACUUAACACCCUAUCUGGGCCCAGACUCUCUCCGCCUGGGCUAUAGGUACUAUUCCCCCUUCCCACCACUCAUUCUGACCUCACACUGCUUGUUUAGGGCCCAGGUGGAUGGGUUCCCAUUAGGACAAUAAAGAGCCUGUUUCUCA